RNAcentral lists this ribosomal RNA (439 nucleotides) under uncultured Rhodocyclaceae bacterium. RNAcentral describes it as "bacterial SSU rRNA". It matches the Rfam family "Bacterial small subunit ribosomal RNA", at positions 945 to 1382 of the family's 1533-position model. The record is from RNAcentral. Lineage: Bacteria; Pseudomonadati; Pseudomonadota; Betaproteobacteria; Rhodocyclales; Rhodocyclaceae.
AUUAAUUCGAUGCAAACGCGUAAAACCUUACCUACCCUUGACAUGUCCGGAAUCCCGAAGAGAUUUGGGAGUGCUCGCAAGAGAACCGGAACACAGGUGCUGCAUGGCUGUCGUCAGCUCGUGUCGUGAGAUGUUGGGUUAAGUCCCGCAACGAGCGCAACCCUUGUCAUUAGUUGCCAUCAUUUGGUUGGGCACUCUAAUGAGACUGCCGGUGACAAACCGGAGGAAGGUGGGGAUGACGUCAAGUCCUCAUGGCCCUUAUGGGUAGGGCUUCACACGUCAUACAAUGGUCGGUACAGAGGGUUGCCAACCCGCGAGGGGGAGCUAAUCCCACAAAGCCGAUCGUAGUCCGGAUUGUUCUCUGCAACUCGAGAGCAUGAAGUCGGAAUCGCUAGUAAUCGCGGAUCAGCAUGUCGCGGUGAAUACGUUCCCGGGCCUU